GACGAACGCUGGCGGCGUGCUUAACACAUGCAAGUCGAACGGAAAGGCCCUGCUUUUGUGGGUUGCUCGAGUGGCGAACGGGUGUGUAACACGUGUGUAACCUGCCCUUGACUUUGGGAUAACUUCAGGAAACUGGGGCUAAUACCGGAUAGGAGCUCCUGCUGCAUGGUGGGGGUUGGAAAGUUUCGGCGGUUGGGGAUGGACUCGCGGCUUAUCAGCUUGUUGGUGGGGUAGUGGCUUGCCAAGGCUUUGACGGGUAGCCGGCCUGAGAGGGUGACCGGCCACAUUGGGACUGAGAUACGGCCCAGACUCCUACGGGAGGCAGCAGUGGGGAAUAUUGCACAAUGGGCGGAAGCCUGAUGCAGCAACGCCGCGUGCGGGAUGACGGCCUUCGGGGUGUAAACCGCUUUCGCCUGUGACGAAGCGUGAGUGACGGUAAUGGGUAAAGAAGCACCGGCUAACUACGUG
RNAcentral lists this ribosomal RNA (468 nucleotides) under uncultured bacterium. RNAcentral describes it as "partial 16S ribosomal RNA". It matches the Rfam family "Bacterial small subunit ribosomal RNA", at positions 28 to 507 of the family's 1533-position model. The record is from RNAcentral.